ACGGAGGGAGCAAGCGUUGUUAGGAUUUACUGGGCGUAAAGGGCGUCUAGGCUGAUUUAAAAGUCAGAUGUGAAACCCCCCGGCUCAACCGGGGAUCUGAAUUUGAUACUGUAAGUCUUGAGUACGGAAGAGGAGAGCGGUAUUCCUGGUGUAGAGGUAAAAUGCCUAGAUAUCAGGAAGCACACAGGUGGCGAAGUCGGCACACUAGGCCGAUACUGACGUCGAUGCGCGAAAGUGCGGGGAGCGAACAG
Molecule: ribosomal RNA, 251 nt
Filed under: uncultured prokaryote
Description: partial 16S rRNA
Rfam family: Bacterial small subunit ribosomal RNA
Source: RNAcentral